Long non-coding RNA from Scylla paramamosain (green mud crab), 270 nucleotides. RefSeq lists it as uncharacterized. The transcript has 3 exons. The record is from RefSeq and is a predicted model, not a curated record. Lineage: Eukaryota; Metazoa; Arthropoda; Malacostraca; Decapoda; Portunidae.
CGGCACUGUACGGUUCAGCUUGAAUGACAAACGUUCAGAUGGAAGCACCACGCUGUCUGAAAGUGGCCAUGGUAGAGUACCCAAUCAUGAUGGAGGUGUUCGGUUCGCCGCCAAACGUAACCUACGUUGGUCCUGUUGUGACGCUGCUCCAUCUCCUAGCUGACCAACUCGAUCUUUGCUACGAGUUUCUAGAUCUCCGCUUCGAGCAGUAUGGUCAACUGAUGGACAAUGGCUCGUGGACGGGGCUCAUGGGACUGCUGCAGAGAAGCG